Molecule: ribosomal RNA, 443 nt
Filed under: uncultured bacterium
Lineage: Bacteria
Description: partial 16S ribosomal RNA
Rfam family: Bacterial small subunit ribosomal RNA
Source: RNAcentral
CCUACGGGAGGCAGCAGUGGGGAAUAUUGGGCAAUGGGCGCAAGCCUGACCCAGCAACGCCGCGUGAAGGAAGAAGGCUUUCGGGUUGUAAACUUCUUUUCUCAGGGACGAAGCCAGUGACGGUACCUGAGGAAUAAGCCACGGCUAACUACGUGCCAGCAGCCGCGGUAAGACGUAGGUGGCAAGCGUUAUCCGGAUUUACUGGGUGUAAAGGGCGUGUAGGCGGGACUGCAAGUCAGAUGUGAAAACCACGGGCUCAACCCGUGGCCUGCAUUUGAAACUGUAGUUCUUGAGUACUGGAGAGGCAGAAGGAAUUCCUAGUGUAGCGGUGAAAUGCGUAGAUAUUAGGAGGAACACCAGUGGCGAAGGCGGUCUGCUGGACAGCAACUGACGCUGAGGCGCGAAAGCGUGGGGAGCAAACAGGAUUAGAUACCCCUGUAGUC